Molecule: long non-coding RNA, 506 nt
Organism: Cynocephalus volans (Philippine flying lemur)
Lineage: Eukaryota; Metazoa; Chordata; Mammalia; Dermoptera; Cynocephalidae
Exons: 3
Source: RefSeq, a predicted model, not a curated record
ACACCGUGGACCCGAGCGCGGGGCGACGUAGCAGUGGCGGCGGGCUGAGGAGGCUUGCGGGGGGAGCGGCGGCAGAGUAGAAACAUUUUUAAACUAGAUGAUAAUGAGCUUGAAUGGAAACUAAAUGUCUGUUUUAUUGGUGUGCUCCAGCCUUGGCAUUUUCCCUAUUACCUGGAUGAAGAAAAGAUGAACAUAUAAGGUGCCUGCCACACUAGCAGAUGUUGUUUAAAAUUGUUCAAGCAAUUUUACUGCCUAAAGGAGUCAUAAAACAAAGCCACGUAAUGUACAAAAAGAAACGAUGAGAUAAUCACCAAAGCAAGAAACUCAAAGAAACAGCUUAGGGCGGAAAGUGGAAUGUCCCCCAAGAACUAAGUAGCAGAAUAUCCUUGAAGAUUUUAACUUCCAUACUUUCCCAUCAUUUGGGUUUAGCUGAACUAAGGGCAACUGCCCCCAGAGCAAUCAUUUUUCGCUGUGCUUCAAUUUUCUUAUCUACAUCAAAGGCUUUA